RNAcentral lists this small RNA (192 nucleotides) under Klebsiella aerogenes. RNAcentral describes it as "Gammaproteobacterial sRNA STnc100". It matches the Rfam family "Gammaproteobacterial sRNA STnc100". The record is from RNAcentral. Lineage: Bacteria; Pseudomonadati; Pseudomonadota; Gammaproteobacteria; Enterobacterales; Enterobacteriaceae.
CCAUGAAGUUAAUGCUUUGUUAAUUUGAGUGUGUGGUGAAUCCCCCUAUGCGGAGGGGCGGAAACAGCAUUGUAUUUGAAUCCUCAAGAUUCACUCGUACCGCAAGUCAUGGUGGCUGACCAACGACUUACCGGGAGGCACCCGGCACCACACCCCCUUAUCUUAGCCCACGUUAACGCGUGGGCUUUUUUA